AACGAACGCUGGCGGCAGGCUUAACACAUGCAAGUCGAACGCUCGUAGCAAUACGGGAGUGGCGGACGGGUGAGUAACGCGUGGGAACGUGCCCUGAGGUACGGAAUAACUGAGGGAAACUUCAGCUAAUACCGUAUGAGCCCCGAGAGGGGGAAAGAUUUAUCGCCUUGGGAGCGGCCCGCGUCGGAUUAGCUAGUUGGUGGGGUAACGGCCUACCAAGGCUUCGAUCCGUAGCUGGUCUGAGAGGACGAUCAGCCACACUGGGACUGAGACACGGCCCAGACUCCUACGGGAGGCAGCAGUGGGGAAUAUUGGACAAUGGGCGCAAGCCUGAUCCAGCCAUGCCGCGUGAGUGAUGACGGCCUUAGGGUUGUAAAGUUCUUUUACCCGUGACGAUGAUGACGGU
This 406-nucleotide ribosomal RNA is filed under the name uncultured bacterium. RNAcentral's name for it is "bacterial SSU rRNA". It matches the Rfam family "Bacterial small subunit ribosomal RNA", at positions 29 to 458 of the family's 1533-position model. The record is from RNAcentral.